CCUACGGGUGGCAGCAGUGAGGAAUAUUGGUCAAUGGGCGGAAGCCUGAACCAGCCAAGUAGCGUGAAGGAUGACGGCCCUAUGGGUUGUAAACUUCUUUUAUACGGGAAUAACGUGCCUUACGUGUAGGGCUUUGUAUGUACCGUAUGAAUAAGGAUCGGCUAAUUCCGUGCCAGCAGCCGCGGUAAUACGGAAGAUCCGGGCGUUAUCCGGAUUUAUUGGGUUUAAAGGGAGCGUAGGCUGAUUGUUAAGUGUGCUGUGAAAUGUUCGGGCUCAACCCGGGCCUUGCAGCUGGAACUGGCGGGCUUGAGUACGCGGAAGGCAGGCGGAAUUCGUGGUGUAGCGGUGAAAUGCUUAGAUAUCACGAAGAACCCCGAUUGCGAAGGCAGCUUACUGGAGCGGAACUGACGCUGAUGCUCGAAAGUGCGGGUAUCGAACAGGAUUAGAUACCCGGGUAGUC
Molecule: ribosomal RNA, 460 nt
Filed under: uncultured bacterium
Lineage: Bacteria
Description: partial 16S ribosomal RNA
Rfam family: Bacterial small subunit ribosomal RNA
Source: RNAcentral